RNAcentral lists this long non-coding RNA (679 nucleotides) under Carassius auratus (goldfish). RNAcentral's name for it is "lncRNA (ENSCARG00000027779.1)". The record is from RNAcentral. Lineage: Eukaryota; Metazoa; Chordata; Actinopteri; Cypriniformes; Cyprinidae.
AUGCGCGAGCAGCUGCUUUCAAACCCAACUGCUCAAUUCCAUUCAUCCUCGAGAGGGAACAAAAAAAGUGGCUAUUUAUUAGAAUACUUGUUUUGUAUUGUUCCGCGUCACACAAAAGGGGCUUUAUUAUUGUGUAGUGAGUGGUGGGACUGGGAGCUGGGUAUAGCUGGCCUUGGCACACUAAGCGUAGAUUUUAGCAAGGAUGGCGGUCUGGCGAGUGGCUUUGGCUGGGUUAGGACAGCGAUAGAACCGAGAGGUCUGUGUAAGGAUGAUUGUGAGAGACUCUGCUGGAAUUUGGCAGGCCCGCAGCUUGGAGAGGUGCCCCACGCUGUGACUCCCAUUCAGCGGUCCAGCGCGCUGUGAGGUUGGGAAGUUUCACUGAGCCGUGCACUCAAUGGCUCCACAAAGCUGAUUACAAGCCCCAGCGAAUUCCUGAAGAGACCGGGCAGCCACGCAGGUGUGCGGGAAACCGGGGCAACCCUUCAGAGUUAUAGUGACAGAGCAAGACAACCCGGGAGACCACACAAAAAGCAAAGCGUCCCGGGAAGCGGCCAGGGAUUUGGUGGGAAAAGAACACCUCAAAUGCCCUCUCUUGUGCGAAAAGGGAAGGGAAGAGAAACUUUCCGAAGGCUUAUUAAAACGAUGCCCAGUCUCCUCAAGAUAGUGAACUAAAAUGACU